GACGAACGCUGGCGGCGUGCUUAAUACAUGCAAGUCAACUGAACUUGAGGUAGUAAUAUUUCAAGGGAGGUGGCGCACGGGUGAGUAACACGUAGGUAAUCUGCCUUUAGGUCUGACAUAAUCCAGCGAAAGCUGGACUAAAAUCAGAUGAUGCAGCGGCUCGACAUCGAGACAGUUGUUAAACCUUCGGGGCCGUAAAGAUGAGCCUGCGUCNGAUUAGGUAGUUGGCGGAGUAAGAGCCCACCAAGCCUUCGAUCAGUAGCUGGUCUGAGAGGAUGAUCAGCCACACUGGAACUGAGACACGGUCCAGACUCCUACGGGAGGCAGCAGUAAGGAAUAUUGCUCAAUGGCCGAAAGGACUGAAGCAGCAACGCCGCGU
Molecule: ribosomal RNA, 379 nt
Filed under: uncultured bacterium
Lineage: Bacteria
Description: bacterial SSU rRNA
Rfam family: Bacterial small subunit ribosomal RNA
Source: RNAcentral